Molecule: long non-coding RNA, 3321 nt
Organism: Astatotilapia calliptera (eastern happy)
Lineage: Eukaryota; Metazoa; Chordata; Actinopteri; Cichliformes; Cichlidae
Source: Ensembl
UCUGUCUCUCCAUCUCCUCAGGUCCUAGCUGAGGAUCCUUGGUUCCUCUAAUAUUAUCCAAUCAGUAAUAUCCUAAGGGGGCAUUUCCUGGUGUAUGGCCCAUCCUCUUACAGCCAUACAAGGUAACAGUGGAAUGUCUCAGCUUCAUAAGAGCGAGACGCCGGGAGGAGAGGGCGACCCAUUCUGAUGAGCAGUCGUGCCACGAGCUCCCACUUAAUGUGGAAAAAAUCUUAACUUUAGGGAAUUUUAAAGGAAGCCAGAUACGUUUGUGACCUCAUCACCAGCAGCUACCAAACAAGAGACACAACCAAAGUAAAGGGCAGUUAAUUACUUUCACCAGGCAACGCUGAGCACCCGGCGAGUGAAGAUGAAAAGCAGAGUCCUCUCAUCAGCCCAGCGGCGCCGCAGCUCGCCGACCUGCAGCAGAGCGUCAGGACACUGCUUUGUUGUGGUAAGUGAGAAAAGAUGGAAGAGGAGAAUAUGUGGAAGCAACAGCCUGGGUUCCUGUUCUCAGGGUGGGAGGCUGAAGAAACCACGACUCCUUCGUAUGUUUGCUUUCCCUGAUUCUUCCCUAAUUAGAGGCCACACUGUCAGCUGAUCAGGACCCAGCUCGCCUCGGUGCUCACAUGCACAUGACCAUUUUUGGUAGUAAUGAUGAUUUAAGCUUCUUUUAUGGCUCCUGCUGCUUUUGCACACUGUGUGACUUUGUUUACCAUUUCAUUGGCUACACGAGGCUGUCCUGCAGCUUUUAUUUGAAAAAGAUGAAUUCCACAAACAUAGGUGUCACCUGUCAGUGAGAGAGGGGGGGGCACUCGAGUAAGGAUGUGACAGAUGGGGAGAGGGGCUUCCUGUGUGUGAUUUAGGGAGCCAGGGGGAAGAGAAAGAAGACCAUAUUUGGCAAUGUUUGUCUUAGCAUAAGACACGGCUCUGACUGUUAUCACACUCUGUCUAAACACACACAGAUUCCCAGCAGCUAAACGUCACUGAUUACAGACGAGCUUUCUUAACAUGUAAUGAUUAGUUCAGACUGGGUCGCUGAUGUAAAGAUGUUAUUCAUCAUGCUCUUAUAUUCAGAGAUUAUUGGGCUUUUUUUUAGCAACAGCAAACUGCAGAAGCAUCUGAUAAAUGGCAAAAACCACCGCUGCUCCCCACAAAUGUUCAGUUUAUCAGGAGAAACUUUAUUUCUGUCAUUUAAAUGCAAAGUGCACCAAAAUGUCUUUGCAACGUUGUUUUGAUGUGAAUCCAUUUGUGGAGAACGUCUCUUCAGAUAUGAGCCACUGUGGGACUGUGGCCUUUCUCACACACAGCCAGCCACUGUGUGUGAGAAAGGCAAACAGCUGGGUUUUCUUCUUAAUAUGGUCGUGCUGAGCCAAACGCACACGGAGCAGGACUGAGUGAGAUAAAGACCUCCUCUCUCUGCUGCCUUUUAAGUGAGUCUUUUACUGGUGUGACUAGAAAAGGGAAUGUUGCUGCCGAAGGAGGAGGUGCGGGUGAAGGUUGGGGGGGGGGGGGGUCACAUACUAUCAGUGGGAGCGAUCGCAGACUGGAAGAGGGAAUGUUUAUCCAAAGCAGUGAUCCCAUUUUCCAUGAUCCUCAAAAUAAGAGACUUGCCUUAUAUGGUCAGACUGGGAGUUUCCAGCUGAGCAGAGUCAGAACAUUUGUGGAAAACACCCGGCCUCUGCUUCUCCCAUUGCCUUAAGUGUCUCAGUCUGCUGCACCUUCCUUUGAUGGAUGAACAGCUCGGAAAAAGGAAUUCUAUGAAUAAUCACUGCUUAGUAGUUCUCUCAGAUGGAUCCGGAGUAACGUGCCGGUCCAUCCCGAGCCUUCGGCAGAGUUUUAGCUCUCAUCCAAACUGUGGGAGAGAUGAACAGCUUUCUGAGACUGGCCCAAACAGCAGCGGCAUGUUCCCGUGUCACAGACCAGGACCAGGCCACAGCAGAAUCCACUCCUCGCUUACUGAGGAGGCCGUUGUAAAGGCCGUCUUCUGUUUCUACUCGUGUAUGUUGCAGAUGUCUUUCACAUGUUUCAGGUGCACAAAACGAUGUGUGUGACUGCGUGCACACAGAAGCUGAACCAGUACGGGACACCGGUGCACAGCUACCAAAUCAAAUCAUCUCUGGCUCGAUUAUUCCUGCAGAAAUGUUUGAACUCUGCACUUCAUGUCAGUCGCUCCACACACACACACACAUGCACACACGCACACACGCACGCACACACGCAUGCACACACAGAGAGACACACACACACACACUCUCACACACACACACACACACACACUCUCACACACACACACACACACACACUCUCACACACUCUCACACACUCUCACACACUCUCUCACACACACACACACACACACACACACACACACACACACACACACACUCUCACACACUCUCACACACUCUCACACACUCUCACACACACACACACACACACACACACACACACACACACACACACACACGCACACACGCACCGUGAAAGUGUGACUUGUCUAUAUGUGUUCUGAGGUCCUCUCUUUUCAUUCAUAUCUAAACUGCUUCCCUCUGUGUUUCUGCAGUUUCCUUCCAUCCCUGCGGCCCAUGGUGCAGUGCUGCAUCUCUGGUCAGUUGGUAGUCUGAGAUGAAGCACUGUAGCUCGGGACGGAGGGCGCAAAUACCAAUUUAAACAUAUCCACCACCAGGACACGUAGCCCAGCAGCAGGUCUCCACAGACCUGCUGCUGGAAUAGGAAAAAAUCCCGGAUCCUGUGAAAGGAGGCAGCUGCAGGCAUGGCUGUGGAUUUUAGGUGACUGGACUAUUAAAUUGAAUUUAUAACUAUUCCAGUUCUAACAAUGCUGCUUUGUCCCAUUUCAAGAACAAACGAAAUUGGAAACAAGCUGAGAACAAACUGUACCUUCCUCUUCUCCUCUCUCCUGGGGUCCAGUUUUCCCAGGAAUCCCUUGACCUAUCAGAAAGGGGGAUUCCUGGAAAUACUGUUCUUGGGGGUGGGGCUUAUCAGCAAUCCUUUAUGCUUUAACUGUAUAAUAAAACGGAUUAUUUGCACUGACUGACUUUUGAAUUCAUGUGUUAUUUAAACACAAGAGAAACCAAAGUGAGGAGCGGCUGUAAUGUUACCGUGAUGGAGAAAUAUUUACUGUCACACGUCGUUAGGUGAAGAUGGAAGAAUAACUGGUUUUACAUUUUAUUUAAAAAGAUUUCAUCCUGAAUAUGAAGCGUUUUUGUGUGUGUGUCAUGAUCCCGCCUGUGCUGGAGUACUAUGUUGUUCGUCUGUUCAGAAACAAUAAAGAAAAGUCCUCGUGACUGUUCCAACUGCUGA